UACGAAGGGGGCUAGCGUUGCUCGGAAUCACUGGGCGUAAAGCGCACGUAGGCGGAUUGUUAAGUCAGGGGGGAAAUCCUGGAGCUCAACUCCAGAACUGCCUUUGAUACUGGCGAUCUUGAGUCCGGGAGAGGUGAGUGGAACUGCGAGUGUAGAGGUGAAAUUCGUAGAUAUUCGCAAGAACACCAGUGGCGAAGGCGGCUCACUGGCCCGGUACUGACGCUGAGGUGCGAAAGCGUGGGGAGCAAACAGG
RNAcentral lists this ribosomal RNA (253 nucleotides) under uncultured bacterium. RNAcentral's name for it is "partial 16S ribosomal RNA". It matches the Rfam family "Bacterial small subunit ribosomal RNA", at positions 524 to 776 of the family's 1533-position model. The record is from RNAcentral.